Molecule: ribosomal RNA, 300 nt
Filed under: uncultured Lysobacter sp.
Lineage: Bacteria; Pseudomonadati; Pseudomonadota; Gammaproteobacteria; Lysobacterales; Lysobacteraceae
Description: bacterial SSU rRNA
Rfam family: Bacterial small subunit ribosomal RNA
Source: RNAcentral
GCUAACUUCGUGCCAGCAGCCGCGGUAAUACGAAGGGUGCAAGCGUUACUCGGAAUUACUGGGCGUAAAGCGUGCGUAGGUGGUUGUUUAAGUCUGAUGUGAAAGCCCUGGGCUCAACCUGGGAAUGGCAUUGGAUACUGGAUAGCUAGAGUGCGGUAGAGGGUAGUGGAAUUCCCGGUGUAGCAGUGAAAUGCGUAGAGAUCGGGAGGAACAUCCGUGGCGAAGGCGACUACCUGGGCCAGCACUGACACUGAGGCACGAAAGCGUGGGGAGCAAACAGGAUUAGAUACCCGUGUAGUC